This 552-nucleotide ribosomal RNA is filed under the name Triticum aestivum (bread wheat). RNAcentral's name for it is "partial small subunit ribosomal RNA". The record is from RNAcentral. Lineage: Eukaryota; Viridiplantae; Streptophyta; Magnoliopsida; Poales; Poaceae.
AUGGAGACGAUUCGAAGAUACAACUACCACCAAUCUUCCAUAAGGGAGAUGCACAGAGGAAGAGAACUAACUUCAUAUAUCCCUUUUUUACUCAAUCAAGAAACAAGAUCGGACGUGAUUCCGGUUCGUCUCCAUUUUAGUGACACUCUUCCUCAAGCAAGGCAGCCGAUAAGUCAUCGAAGGGUUUGUUUGAAUAAUGGACUGGUAACCAUUACUCAUUUGAAAGUUUCCCACGGUGAUCUAAUAUCUUUUAAAGAAAAUGACGCGAGAACCCGCGGUUUUGAAAUAAGGAGAUCUUUCUAUAUCGACAUAUCAGUUGGAAAAAUCAUAGGCAAAUUCCUAUCGGCCAUAUCAGUUGGAAAAAGAAGAGGCAAAUUCCUACCGGCCAGAAUCUGGAGAAGAACAAAAAAAAAGAAUGGUUCCGCUUACUCACAACUCAGAGGGGAUGCCGCUUACUACUCAAAUCCAAGGAAUUGCAAAAGUUGCAUUCUUAUAUGCAAGAAGAAGACUUUGAAAGAACAAAGAAGUUUGGAUCCGCAAAAGUAUGCUUAG